RNAcentral lists this ribosomal RNA (253 nucleotides) under uncultured bacterium. Its description in RNAcentral is "partial 16S ribosomal RNA". It matches the Rfam family "Bacterial small subunit ribosomal RNA", at positions 524 to 776 of the family's 1533-position model. The record is from RNAcentral.
UACGGAGGGGACUAGCGUUGUUCGGAAUUACUGGGCGUAAAGCGCACGUAGGCGGAUUUGUAAGUCAGGGGUGAAAUCCCCGGGCUCAACCCGGGAACUGCGUCCGAUACUGGAAGGCUUGAAUCCGGGAGAGGGAUGCGGAAUUCCAGGUGUAGCGGUGAAAUGCGUAGAUAUCUGGAGGAACACCGGUGGCGAAGGCGGCAUCCUGGACCGGCAUUGACGCUGAGGCGCGAAAGCCAGGGGAGCAAACGGG